Molecule: long non-coding RNA, 440 nt
Filed under: Brassica napus (rape)
Lineage: Eukaryota; Viridiplantae; Streptophyta; Magnoliopsida; Brassicales; Brassicaceae
Description: long non-coding RNA (BNAP_LNC005268)
Source: RNAcentral
UUUUUUUAAAUGAAACUCUAAUCUAAACUGAAAAAAAUCAAAAAAAGAAAUGGAUCCUGUGCAAAUACACCUUCAGUACUGGGCCAGAGCCGGGCCUGCCGAUGAAGAAGAGUUCUUAGCCUUGGUAUAUUUGAAAGUCGUAACUUAUAGCGUUUUAAGCUUCAACAAGAACAGGUCACUGAAACCAAAAUACAAUAAGAAAGCCAUUAUUUUAUUUUUUUCAGAAAUAGAAUUAAUAAAAAAAACUUACAGAUUAAAACCACAUUGUAUUGUUAAAAAGUCCUAAAAUAAAGACGAGUCUGGGAAACUUUUUCUUUUCUUUUUUUUUGGCUCAACAGCAACUUAAUAUUAAUCCAAACUCAUUGUCUUACAUGUUUGAUCGGAAAACGGUGAUAAAAGGAUGUGGGUUUAACAAAGACGUUUUAUUAUGGUCGGAAGAG